This 523-nucleotide transfer-messenger RNA is filed under the name Patescibacteria group. Its description in RNAcentral is "JACRID01 sp016220145 Standard tmRNA". It matches the Rfam family "transfer-messenger RNA". From Rfam's summary of the family: Bacterial tmRNA, also known as 10Sa RNA or SsrA, is named for its dual tRNA and mRNA-like properties. Its role is to liberate the mRNA from a stalled ribosome. To accomplish this part of the tmRNA is used as a reading frame that ends in a translation stop signal. RNAcentral also lists the same sequence under 1 other name. The record is from RNAcentral.
GGGGAUGUACAGGUUUCGACAGGGAUCUUUGAAAGGUAGGUUUUUGCAAUCAGGGCGUCGCGCUGUCUGCCCGGAAACUGCGAGAUUCGUGUUCCGCAGCGAAAUUCCGACGUCAGUCGGAAUGAAGCGAAGGACGCCGAACCGUGAAAAUCUUUGAUUUUCACGAGUGAGGCGAGCGAAUCCCUGUUCCAUAUCCGUCCAGCGCAAAAUUAAAUGCAGAUAAUGCAGGCGAAAUGGCAACUGUCAGAGCUCUUCGCAGAGUUCCGGUUUUUGCCUAACGCUCCUUGUCCUGAUUUUAUCGGGACACGCCGUACGCUUUGAGGCUUCAUAGAAGCGCGCGACGUCAUUCAUGAAGCUGGAUGACUCCGCCCGCUCGGCGGACGAUUCGAGAUUUUAGAGCUAAGCCUUGCGCGUUUUUUGUUCAUUUUUUAUUCGCCGGGCCGACAACUUAAAAUGAAACAUGAUUGUAGACGGAACUUAUCUUUAUCCUUGGACGGGGGUUCGAUUCCCCCCAUCUCCACCA